AUUGAACGCUGGCGGCAUGCCUUACACAUGCAAGUCGAACGGUAACGCGGGGCAACCUGGCGACGAGUGGCGAACGGGUGAGUAAUGCGUCGGAACGUGCCCAGUAGUGGGGGAUAGCUCGGCGAAAGCCGGAUUAAUACCGCAUACGACCUACGGGUGAAAGCGGGGGACCGUAAGGCCUCGCGCUAUUGGAGCGGCCG
RNAcentral lists this ribosomal RNA (200 nucleotides) under uncultured bacterium. RNAcentral's name for it is "partial 16S ribosomal RNA". It matches the Rfam family "Bacterial small subunit ribosomal RNA", at positions 30 to 232 of the family's 1533-position model. The record is from RNAcentral.